Solea solea (common sole) is the source of this 1068-nucleotide long non-coding RNA. RefSeq lists it as uncharacterized. The record is from RefSeq and is a predicted model, not a curated record. Lineage: Eukaryota; Metazoa; Chordata; Actinopteri; Pleuronectiformes; Soleidae. The transcript has 6 exons.
UGUGCUUUAUAGACGCCCGGAAGGAUUUGAGUGUAACACACAAAGUCCGUCUGACUACAUCCGGCGUUGUUUUUGCUGAAAUAUCAACUUUUCACGGAGAAACAUCAAAGAUUCUCAUGCAAGCUCACGACCCGCACGCUGGAGCUUGGACGUUACAAAGAGACUUGGCACGGACACUAGCAAUCGAACCGUAGUCGCUGCAUGCAGCUGCAACAAUCAAAGGCCUUUCAUCAUCAUCUUAAGUUUCCAGAUGAGAGGAAUUAGUGGCCCUCACCCCGCCACUUGGCUUCUCUUCAGGCCUCGGCCAUUCCUCCCCAUUACGGCGUCUCAGGACCAUGUGGCCUGGCGCGAUACCGCGGCAGAGCGCGGCUAACUCAUCAGCCCCUGUUGUCACUCCGCCUGAUGAACGAUACGCACCCUCAGUGGCACCAGCGACACUGAUUUCGCUUCCUUUAAAAGGGGUGAACGGUGCACAAAAGGACUGGCCCAAUUCUGCCACAAAAACUCCCCGAGGACCACACAAACAAGAUAACAAGAGAGAGAUAUCACAGGACACAUGUAACUGCCUGCAGCCUGUGCCACACAGGAGCUGGAGGGGGGAGCUGAGAAGAAUACUUACAAGCCUCCAGCACAAGCACCAGUGCCCCGCCCAGGCACACACACACACACAUGCACAAACGCACGCAUACACAAACACAGGCAUAUAGCCCUGCCAAGUCAAGCACUGUGGCGUGUCAGGAGGACCCUCGGGAGUCCAGCAGCAAAAUGUGUCCUCUAGCAUUAAUGGCGGCUUCAGCUGACUGAACGGGGAAAACACCUUGAAGAAUCAUACUUCUGAACACUGCCUUGGCUCUGCUGGGAAAAAAAAAAACUGAUUGACAUUUCAGAAGCCUUACUAAACAUGCUGGCCCUCUAAUACAGAGCGCACACACACAGCGGCUGUGCUGUCCUCCUCUGAAUACUACACAGGGAGGGAUACAUGUGAUUAAAGAAAUUCCUUGUGUCCAUUUUUUUUUAAUCCAUGUACGGCUGGUAGGUAAAAAGAAUAAAGAUAAUAGGUUCCUGGGG